Molecule: ribosomal RNA, 269 nt
Filed under: Clostridioides difficile
Lineage: Bacteria; Bacillati; Bacillota; Clostridia; Peptostreptococcales; Peptostreptococcaceae
Description: partial 23S ribosomal RNA
Rfam family: Bacterial large subunit ribosomal RNA
Source: RNAcentral
ACUACAUGUACAGGAUAGGUGGGAGGCUUUGAAACCAGGACGCCAGUUUUGGCGGAGCCAUCCUUGGGAUACCACCCUUGUAGUACUGGGACUCUAACCAUAGGCCAUGAAUCUGGUCUUGGGACACUGUCAGGUGGGCAGUUUGACUGGGGCGGUCGCCUCCCAAAAGGUAACGGAGGCGCUCAAAGGUUCUCGCAGUACGGUCGGAAAUCGUACGUAGAGUGUAAAGGCAAAAGAGAGCUUGAUUGCAAGACAUACAGGGCGAGCAA